This 477-nucleotide ribosomal RNA is filed under the name uncultured bacterium. RNAcentral's name for it is "bacterial SSU rRNA". It matches the Rfam family "Bacterial small subunit ribosomal RNA", at positions 365 to 832 of the family's 1533-position model. The record is from RNAcentral.
UUCGCAAUGCCCGAAAGGGUGACGAAGCGACGCCGCGUGUGGGAAGAAGGCCUUCGGGUUGUAAACCACUGUCGGGAGUUAAGAAAUGCAAGGAUAUGAAUAGUGUCUUUGUUUGACUAAGGCUCCGGAGGAGGCCACGGCUAACUCUGUGCCAGCAGCCGCGGUAAUACAGAGGCGGCAAGCGUUGUUCGGAAUUAUUGGGCGUAAAGAGCACGUAGGCGGCUAUGUAAGUCGGUUGUGAAAGCCUUCCGCUCAACGGAAGAACAGCAUCCGAUACUACAUGGCCUGAGUGCGGGAGGGGAGAGUGGAACUUCUGGUGGAGCGGUGAAAUGCGUAGAUAUCAGAAGGAACGCCGGCGGCGAAAGCGGCUCUCUGGCCCAUAACUGACGCUGAGUGUGCGAAAGCUAGGGGAGCAAACGGGAUUAGAUACCCCGGUAGUCCUAGCCGUAAACGAUGGGCACUAAGUAGAGGGGUUUU